RNAcentral lists this ribosomal RNA (392 nucleotides) under uncultured bacterium. RNAcentral describes it as "bacterial SSU rRNA". It matches the Rfam family "Bacterial small subunit ribosomal RNA", at positions 37 to 433 of the family's 1533-position model. The record is from RNAcentral.
UGGCGGCAUGCCUUACACAUGCAAGUCGAACGGUAACAGGUCUUCGGAUGCUGACGAGUGGCGAACGGGUGAGUAAUACAUCGGAACGUGCCCGAUCGUGGGGGAUAACGAAGCGAAAGCUUUGCUAAUACCGCAUAAGAUCUACGGAUGAAAGCAGGGGACCGCAAGGCCUUGCGCGAACGGAGCGGCCGAUGGCAGAUUAGGUAGUUGGUGGGAUAAAAGCUUACCAAGCCGACGAUCUGUAGCUGGUCUGAGAGGACGACCAGCCACACUGGGACUGAGACACGGCCCAGACUCCUACGGGAGGCAGCAGUGGGGAAUUCUGGACAAUGGGCGAAAGCCUGAUCCAGCCAUGCCGCGUGCAGGAUGAAGGCCUUCGGGUUGUAAACUGC